GCCCUAGUAACGGCGAGUGAAGCGGCAACAGCUCAAAUUUGAAAUCUGGCCCUUGGGUCCGAAUUGUAAUUUGUAGAGGAUGAUUUUGGUGCGGUAUCUUCCGAGUUCCUUGGAACAGGACGCCUUAGAGGGUGAGAGCCCCGUACGGUUGAAUGCCUAGCCUCUGUAAAUCUCCUUCGACGAGUCGAGUAGUUUGGGAAUGCUGCUCUAAAUGGGAGGUAAAUUUCUUCUAAAGCUAAAUACUGGCCAGAGACCGAUAGCGCACAAGUAGAGUGAUCGAAAGAUGAAAAGCACUUUGAAAAGAGGGUUAAAUAGCACGUGAAAUUGUUGAAAGGGAAGGAUUUAUGACCAGACUUUUUCUGGGCGGAUCAUCCGGUGUUCUCACCGGUGCACUUUGCCCAGUUUAGGCCAGCAUCGAUUUUCGGAGAGGGAUAAAAGCUUUGGGAAUGUGGCUCCUCCGGGAGUGUUAUAGCCCAUUGUAUAAUACCUUUCUGGGGAUCGAGGUACGCGCUUCUGCAAGGAUGCUGGCGUAAUGGUUAUCAAUCACCCGUCUUGAAACACGGACCAAGGAGUCGAACAUUUGUGCAAGUGUUUGGGUGUUAAACCCUCACGCGUAAUGAAAGUGAACGGAGGUGAGAGCCCUUACGGGUGCAUCAUCGACCGAUCCUGAAGUUUUCGGAUGGAUUUGAGUAAGAGCAUAACUGUUCGGACCCGAAAGAUGGUGAACUAUGCGUGGAUAGGGUGAAGCCAGAGGAAACUCUGGUGGAGGCUCGCAGCGGUUCUGACGUGCAAAUCGAUCGUCAAAUCUGCGCAUGGGGGCGAAAGACUAAUCGA
RNAcentral lists this ribosomal RNA (834 nucleotides) under Seiridium eucalypti. Its description in RNAcentral is "LSU rRNA". It matches the Rfam family "Eukaryotic large subunit ribosomal RNA", at positions 77 to 938 of the family's 3401-position model. The record is from RNAcentral. Lineage: Eukaryota; Fungi; Ascomycota; Sordariomycetes; Amphisphaeriales; Sporocadaceae. RNAcentral also lists the same sequence under 1 other name.